Helianthus annuus (common sunflower) is the source of this 2221-nucleotide RNA transcript. It is a transcript of the gene named G-type lectin S-receptor-like serine/threonine-protein kinase At4g03230, with no coding region annotated. The record is from RefSeq and is a predicted model, not a curated record. Lineage: Eukaryota; Viridiplantae; Streptophyta; Magnoliopsida; Asterales; Asteraceae. The transcript is spliced from 11 exons.
UUUCUGAGAUCUUUUAUAAACUCUCAACUCUCUCUCUAAAACUCGCUUUCUCUCUCUCUAAAAUUCAAUUUCUCUCUCUCUCAAAUCCAGGAAUCCCAAACACCCGAUCAUGAAACCAUAUCUGAUUUUAAGAGCACACAUGAUGCGAUUAGGAGGCUACAACAGGAAGAAGAGGCGAUUACGAAGGCAAAGAAGCCGGUGAAGAAGAAGAUGUUGACGGUGGUUGUGGCCUGAAUAAAAAGAUGAUUGCUACAAGGAUUGGUUGGGUUUCGCCGGUUGUGAUAAUGUGAUGGUGUGGUUCAAGGAAGCGAGGACAAGGCGGCGGCUAGGGUUUCACCAGCAGCACUCUUUUGUUCAAUCUUGCAUCAAGAUUACAAAAAUCACUCAUCGGUUUGUUCUCGAAUUCCUGCACUCUUUUGUUCAAUCUUACAUCAAGAUUUUGUUUAACGGUGGUCUUGUGAUGGCUUAUUACAAGAACCAGACGUUUAUUCCCUUCUUCAGAAGCUUCAUUCAAGUUAGAUGUGAGAUCAGGGUUAGAUAUCUUUUUAUUAUUUACCAGCAACUUUAUAUUUUUCUUAAUGAUUUAUGAGUUUGUACAUUGCAUAUUGUGUGUAUGGCGCAAGAGAUACAACUACCGAUCAAAAAGUAGAACAACCGAAGGAGGCAAGAAGAUAUUUGCCAUAAGAGGGUAACUUACAUGAUGGAAACAUGGCUCCUAAGUAAAGCAGAAGGCAAGAAGAUAUUUGCCACAAGAAGAUAUUUGCCACAAGAGGGUAAUGGUUAAUACAACUGGAACUCAGAACGCGUCGUCUCUGGAUGGUUAAAGAAAGCAGAUUAAAGCAAAAGAAGCUUCAAAAUCAGUUGAAAAUUCAGUCCAAGUCUCAUGAACUAGAGGUUAUUGAAACAUUGAACACCCAAUUCGCCUCGGUCUGGCUCUCAAUUUUUGUGUCUUCUACUAUGAAAUUUUGAACUCUCCAGACCGCGCUUGCAGCCUUGCAAAACAGGCUUUUGAUGAAGCAAUUGCAGAGCUAGAUACUUUAGGUGAGGAGUCUCACAAAGAUAGCACCUUGAUCAUGCAACUCCUUCGUGACAACCUCACUCCAUAGACCUCUGAUAUGCAGCAUAUUAUGACAUAAGCAAAGCAAGUUGGGGUUGGAGCUGGAUGGAGAGAUGGAUUGCGGUAUGCCCGUGGGAGACCCGAGUCAUUCCCCGACACAUCACCUCAACUCGGGCAGUGAAAAUGAAUAAACCAGCUAAAAAGAUAAAGCAUGCAAAAACAAACAUGUUUAUUAGCGACGCAUUGGUGCCACCAUUCAGAUGUGAGUGUGUGAGAAACCUGGUACCUGAUCAAGAAUUGUUAAAAAGGAUCCGUUCAGGUCAAGCCAGUCACUUUGACUAAGAAAAAAAGCAACCUAGAUGCAGUUUAUCCUUAUUCCUUAAUGACUGAGAAUGAGUUCCAGAUUCGUUUAAGUAGAAUCGAUGUGCAACAAAGCUGAUCACUCCUUUUGGUUUUCAGCAGAGCAGAGCAGUGCAGUGCAGGCUGCUUCUUCAACACUUGCGUUUUCUACGCAACUUUCUUAUCAAAUCCACCACCCUUAAUUGUGUUCUUCCAGUUCAGAACAUCAUUCAUUGGAUUUGAUGGGUGCCACGUCCGAGUUUGGGAAAGAGUCCUUGCUGGUAGAAGGGAAGUGUGGGCCCGUUUACCGAGCUGUACUGCCAGGUGAUAUCCACGUGGCAGUGAAGGUGUUGGAGAGUGCUAGAGGGAUGAGUCAUGAUGAGGAUGUUUGUAUGUUUGAAGAGCUUUCGAAGCUCAUUCAUCCAAAUUUGCUGUUUAUUGUGAACUUAGCUACUGCAAGAAUCAACGGCAUGGUUGAAAGACUAGAGUUAUCACAAGAAAUAAGAGAGAGGGUACACUCCCUUUUUCAACAGAUUCUGAGUCACCGAACAACGUUGUUGUUCAACCGCCUGACGGGUAGUCCACGGGACAACCCUUAAGUGUGUUAAAAGAUGAGUUAAUCCCUCAUUUGAUCAUGUAGUUGUCUUUAAUUAGAUAACUACGGUUGCUUGUGUUUCAGGUACAUUUGGAGCUUAAAAGUAUGGAAAUAAAGCUUCGAAUAGACGCGACUAGAUUGGAGAUUGAAAGAUGGAGAAUAAAUGAAAAAAGUAAAAUUUUGGAAUUGAAGAAAUAAGAAUAUAACAUGAUAGAGGACGAAAUUACGAG